ACGGGCGGAGCUAAAGGGGAAGGAAAGGUGGUGACGCUCUGAGGAGGAGGCGGGGGUUGAUGCGGGGGAGCGGUUCCUAUUGGCUGCCUCGCAUCCCAAUCCCAGGCAGGUGAGGGAGUGCAGCUAAAAGAGGAAGGAAUGGAGGUGACGUAUUUUAUGGGGCGGGGAUGAAUGGGGGCGGUGUUUGAUGGGGAAGCGGUUCCUAUUGGCUGCCUCCCUGCCCAAUCCAAGGCCGACUCCGUUUCCGCUGGAUUUCAUUCUUGCUCUCCUAUGAUUUGGGAGUAUUUUCACUUUUACUUAUUGGGUUAUUAUUAUUAUUAUUAUUAUUUAUUGUAUUUUAGUGUUUUGUUGGAAGCCGCCCAGAGUGGCUGGGGAAACCCAGCCAGAUGGCGGGGUAGAAAUAAUAAAUUAUUAUUAUUAUUAUUAUUAUUAUUAUUAUUAUUUCUCUGCACAUUUUUUUGCAUAGGGUUUAAAGGUUGCCGGCUGCCGAAAGGCGAAGCUGCCUUUGGAACCGCGGAAAAUUAAAUUUAUGAGAUUAUGAAAGUUAAAUAUAAACUCAACGGCAGGCAAGGAGUUAAAAGGUUCGCGUUGGUUCGCGUUUGAAGCCGAAUUUGUGAAAUUCGCACUUACAGGAACAAUAGGAAGACCAAAAAGCAGCCAUUCCAUAGACAAAGGAGAUGGUGUUGGACUUUCAGAGGAAGAGAGAACUAGCCCCACUGUACAUCGGGGAGGGCUGUGUGGAGAGAGUCUCUUCCUUUGAAUUCCUAGGAGUUCAUCUCAGUGAAGACCUUACUUGGAAGAUCAAUACGUGGUUAAGAAAGCCCAACAGAGACUCCAUUUCCUCAGAGUAUUGCAGAAGAAUGACGUCAAUCAACAUUUGAUUAUCUCUUUCUACUGGUCAACAAUAGAAAGUGUCCUUUCAUACUGCGUCACGGUGUGGUAUGCUGGUUUGACAUCAUCUGAUAGGAAGUGCCUACAGAGGGUGGUGUACAAGAUAUUAUGGGCUGUCCCGUGAAUCCGCUGGAUGAAACAGCGGAAGAAGGUUGCCUCAGGAGAGUGAGGAAAAUUCUCAGGGAUGAUUCACACCCUGGCCGGCACUUUCUUGAUCUCCUGCUCUCAGGCAGAAGAUAUAGAAGCAUGAUUAGUCACACCAACAGGGCAAAGAACAGCUUCUAUCCGUGGGCUGUUAGGCUGCUGAAUGAAAAGAUAACAACAGGGCAACUGACUUUUGGGUUUGGUGGGUGUGCGUCAGUAAACGAGGGGAAUUAAAACUAGGAGAGCUGAGUGAGGCGUGCUCAUGUAAUCUCGCUUUAUACAAGUUGUACAAAUGACAAUAAAGUAUUUCAAUUUCAAUUCUCUGACAUCUGCAGUCAUCUGGAUUUUACCAUGUAGUUUCCCAACCAACGCUGUCAGCAAUAUGCUAAUGACACACACCUCUGCUUCUCCUUUACAGGAGUAAAUGCUCCGUUUUCUGUUUCCCUGCC
Molecule: non-coding RNA, 1484 nt
Organism: Podarcis lilfordi (Lilford's wall lizard)
Lineage: Eukaryota; Metazoa; Chordata; Lepidosauria; Squamata; Lacertidae
Source: the annotation of a GenBank genome assembly